Molecule: non-coding RNA, 71 nt
Organism: Thalictrum thalictroides
Lineage: Eukaryota; Viridiplantae; Streptophyta; Magnoliopsida; Ranunculales; Ranunculaceae
Source: the annotation of a GenBank genome assembly
CAAGGGCCAGUGAUGGUUUUAAAUAUACUUUGAGUAGUUACAAUGAAAAAGCUUGUUAUCUGAGGCACUUU